Molecule: ribosomal RNA, 495 nt
Filed under: uncultured bacterium
Lineage: Bacteria
Description: partial 16S ribosomal RNA
Rfam family: Bacterial small subunit ribosomal RNA
Source: RNAcentral
GAUGAACGCUGGCGGCGUGCCUAAUACAUGCAAGUCGAGCGAACAGACGAGGAGCUUGCUCCUCUGACGUUAGCGGCGGACGGGUGAGUAACACGUGGAUAACCUACCUAUAAGACUGGGAUAACUUCGGGAAACCGGAGCUAAUACCGGAUAAUAUAUUGAACCGCAUGGUUCAAUAGUGAAAGACGGUUUUGCUGUCACUUAUAGAUGGAUCCGCGCCGCAUUAGCUAGUUGGUAAGGUAACGGCUUACCAAGGCAACGAUGCGUAGCCGACCUGAGAGGGUGGUCGGCCACCCUGGAACGGAGACACGGUCCAGACUCCUACGGGAGGCAGCAGUAGGUAAUCUUCCGCAAUGGGCGAAAGCCUGACGGAGCAACGCCGCGUGAGUGAUGAAGGUCUUCGGAUCGUAACUCUGUUAUUAGGGAAGAACAAAUGUGUAAGUAACUAUGCACGUCUUGACGGUACCUAAUCAGAAAGCCACGGCUAACUACGUG